Molecule: ribosomal RNA, 492 nt
Filed under: uncultured bacterium
Lineage: Bacteria
Description: partial 16S ribosomal RNA
Rfam family: Bacterial small subunit ribosomal RNA
Source: RNAcentral
AGUGAACGCUGGCGGUAGGCCUAACACAUGCAAGUCGAACGGCAGCACAGUAAGAGCUUGCUCUUACGGGUGGCGAGUGGCGGACGGGUGAGGAAUACAUCGGAAUCUACUUUUUCGUGGGGGAUAACGUAGGGAAACUUACGUUAAUACCGCAUACGACCUACGGGUGAAAGCAGGGGAUCUUCGGACCUUGCGCGAUUGAAUGAGCCGAUGUCGGAUUAGCUAGUUGGCGGGGUAAAGGCCCACCAAGGCGACGAUCCGUAGCUGGUCUUAGAGGAUGAUCAGCCACACUGGAACUGGGACACGGUCCAGACUCCUACGGGGGGCAGCAGUGGGGAAUAUUGGACAAUGGGCGCAAGCCUGAUCCAGCCAUACCGCGUGGGUGAAGAAGGCCUUCGGGUUGUAAAGCCCUUUUGUUGGGAAAGAAAAGCAGCAGGUUAAUACCCCGCUGUUCUGACGGUACCCAAAGAAUAAGCACCGGCUAACUUCGUG